RNAcentral lists this ribosomal RNA (416 nucleotides) under Gyrosmilia interrupta. RNAcentral's name for it is "partial large subunit ribosomal RNA". It matches the Rfam family "Bacterial large subunit ribosomal RNA", at positions 1991 to 2462 of the family's 2925-position model. The record is from RNAcentral. Lineage: Eukaryota; Metazoa; Cnidaria; Anthozoa; Scleractinia; Euphylliidae.
UAUGAAUGGUGUCACGAGGGUCUCACUGUCUUAAGGAAAUUUCCAGUGAAAUUGAAUUUGUAGUGAAGAUGCUACAUCCAAAUUGUUAGACAAGAAGACCCCAUGAAACUUUACUGGAAACUUAUGUGGCGGACUUAAAUAGUUUAAAAAUGUGGUGCGGGUCAACUAAGGCUAGAAAAGCGCACUUUUUUAUUUGAAGAAAGGCAACUCACGAACUUAUGUUUUUGGGGUUUGAUAAGUGGGACAGUUUGGUUGGGGCGACCGCCUUUAAAAAAGUAACGAAGGCGGGCUUAAGAUACAUAUUUAAUUGUGUCUGACUGCCAGGGGGAGACCCAAAGCAGACACUUAUCUUUGGAUGGUGGGUUUAAGUGACCCGUUAAUUUAGGGUGAAAUAGUUAACGAUAAACAGAUAAAAG